UACAAGCAUAGAUCCAGCAUUUUCAAAAUGAUGCAUGUGGAGAGGAUUUGUCGAAUCAAGAAGUGGAUUUGUAGAAUCUGUUUUUUCCUCGUUGACAACCAUACUUAUCGAUUUGUUUUUGAAGAGAAAUUGACCUCGUUUGAACCUUUUCUAAGAAAUCGAGCUGAAAUUGGGGAAGUUGAAAUUUUGCACAGUAAAUUGUCAUAGGGAUGUAAUUGAGUGAAGAAUCAGCAAAUUGAGCUUAGGACUGAGAUCCUCGUUCUGAUACCAUGUCGAAAUUACAGAGGAAGUAAGAGAGAAAGAUCACCUUGAUUGAGCUAUAAUGGAGGUCAGAGGAAAGUAGGGUUCUUCUAGAAGCUUCUCUUUC
This 367-nucleotide long non-coding RNA is filed under the name Nicotiana benthamiana. RNAcentral's name for it is "long non-coding RNA (NBEN_LNC004212)". Lineage: Eukaryota; Viridiplantae; Streptophyta; Magnoliopsida; Solanales; Solanaceae. The record is from RNAcentral.